CAAAACUGCAUAUCAGUUCCAACUAUUAGUUUCCCCCUAAUCAGUCUUUCUCUUCCGGCCAUGAAGAAAAAACAUUAGAGUAUGUUUGUGGUGCAUAUGCGAAUCCGCAGUUGGUUUGCUUACCAUCUUCAAGUAAUCAUUCCUGUGCAUGUAGACAUCAGCGGAGGAAGUAACAAAGAUUGAAAGAGCCGUGGUUUAAUGGAUGGUUAUAAAAUUUAGUAAAGCAAGGUAAAACUCCAAAGACAUGAUCUACCGUAGGUGAAAUUACUAUGGAUAGUGCUAGAGUCGUCAAGUGGAACAAAAUCAACCAUGAAAAACCUCCCGACUUUUUCAAACAAAAUAAAGCAUCAACAGGUUUUGGGUCCUUAAGUUUUGACCAUCACAUUGGACAAGACCUUUAACCGGGCAUACCAUAUACAAAAGCUCAGGAACUUCCUCAGACCAACCAUGUUGGCGGCGGUGAAAAGAAUUCAAGGAUUUGCUAAAGCAGUGUAGGAUUUGGCCGUAAUCGUGUUACCAAACAGCUACAUUUUCUUGGUUUUUAAGUAUUGAGCCAGGCUUAACUAGUGUUUCCUUUUGCCACUAUCACAUGCCACCUCAUAAGUUUGUAAGUAAUUUGUUAUUGCCACUUCAACACAGUUAAUUCAGCCACAUUAUAAUUAAUUUUUUGUAACUGUUCUGAUGUUGGAAUAUGUAAUGAAAUUAGCACUUUUGGGAUU
Molecule: long non-coding RNA, 719 nt
Organism: Papaver somniferum (opium poppy)
Lineage: Eukaryota; Viridiplantae; Streptophyta; Magnoliopsida; Ranunculales; Papaveraceae
Exons: 3
Source: RefSeq, a predicted model, not a curated record